CACCCAUUAAAUAUUCACACCAAAAUGAAAAGGGAGGGAGGGGAAGCCACUUGAUUUCUGGUUUUCCUUGUCACUAUGGGAGCAUUUUAUUUUGGAACACUGACAGAACCCUCACCCUAUGAGCAAGGAAACCUGUUCAGAUGGCUGUCAAACAGAUUUCAAACCUGGGCAAGGAUCUGGGUUUAAACUUCAGUGAGAGAGGGUUAGAGACAGAAAUUAGUAGGUUGAGAUUAAAUACUUAAAAAGGACACUGUGGGCCCUCCAUCCCUGCAGAUCUUUAGGGAAUAAAAAUGACACUCGUUCUUUCUGGAUGAUGUAAGCUUAAAAGGAGGGGGCCUGGCCCAAAUGACCUGCUGGACUCUACAAAUCUUGUUGCUCCUGGUGUAGACUGCAGCGUGAGGAAGUCUAUUCAAAGGAGUUGGUCGGUUUUGAUCAGGAUCCUGAUACACAUUCACUCUCUUCCUAAGUGGCUUUGCAUAGGUCAAAACGAUCAUCAGCCCUUCCAAAGACCCACCUGUGCAGUCCUGGAUACUGAAUGAAUAAAGUUGAAUAUAAAUGGUCCCUGCCCUCCAAGAACAUAUUGGAAAUAAACCAGUCUUAAAGUCCUGAAAAUUCAA
Molecule: long non-coding RNA, 617 nt
Organism: Ornithorhynchus anatinus (platypus)
Lineage: Eukaryota; Metazoa; Chordata; Mammalia; Monotremata; Ornithorhynchidae
Exons: 3
Source: RefSeq, a predicted model, not a curated record